AUGCUACAUCGCGGCGAACUGGUGGAUGGUGUCAGUGGCGUGGGGGUUCGUGGUGACGGUGCCGAGGGCGUCGUGCUGGCGCGGGAGAUGCAGAUGCCGGCGCGGACGUUCAUGAACUGGUACUGGCCCGCCGACUACAAGGCGCGCGCAUUCAACAUGAAGCCCCUGGCGCACAACCAGUGCAAGAGGCCCGCGCUCUACUACCUGGCGUCGGCGUGGCGCACGGUGGUGCGCGUCAUCGUGUUCGAGAAGCCUGACCCCGAGUUAUGGGACCUUGUAAUGCUCGCUCUGCCUAUUUUAUGUGUCAGGAGGCUGCUGGACGAGUGA
This 327-nucleotide ribosomal RNA is filed under the name Triticum aestivum (bread wheat). RNAcentral's name for it is "partial small subunit ribosomal RNA". Lineage: Eukaryota; Viridiplantae; Streptophyta; Magnoliopsida; Poales; Poaceae. The record is from RNAcentral.